GCACCUGUGUUUUUCAGAAUUGCAAAAAACUGGGCUGGCUGAACUCUGUGCCUGGAGCUGUGUUCCAAAAUGUUACAUGGCCAAGAGUCACACUGUCCCCUGACUUUCACUUUACUUCCUAUACAUUUGCAAAUGAGGACUAUGUCAUUACCACUGUCUUCUAACUUCUCAGAGGACUCGUGUAAUACAAGGAAACACUCCUCUGGCAUAUAACUAACUCCACCUAAUCAUGGUAACAUUGAACUACCUGAAUAUUCGGAGAAGGGUUGGCUAGUAGACCUGACAGACUUGGCCCAUUUCCUGUCU
Molecule: long non-coding RNA, 306 nt
Organism: Columba livia (rock pigeon)
Lineage: Eukaryota; Metazoa; Chordata; Aves; Columbiformes; Columbidae
Exons: 3
Source: RefSeq, a predicted model, not a curated record